CCUACGGGUGGCAGCAGUAGGGAAUUUUCGGCAAUGGGGGGAACCCUGACCGAGCAACGCCGCGUGAACGAAGAAGUUAUUCGUAAUGUAAAGUUCUUUUUACAGGGAAGAAAGAGAAAUUUGACGGUACCUGAUGAAUAUGCUCCGGCUACCUACGUGCCAGCAGCCGCGGUAAUACGUGGGGAGCGAGCGUUAUCGGUAAUUAUUGGGCGUAAAGGGUGGGUAGAUGGCAUAGUAAGUCUUUUGUAAAAAUGCUGGGCUAAACCCAGUAGGGCAAAAGAUACUGGAAAGCUAGAGUAUGACAGAGGCAGGUGGAACUAGAGGUGUAGCGGUAAAAUGCGUAAAUAUAAGUAAGAACACCAGUGGCGAAGGCGGCUUGCUGGGUCGAUACUGACAUUGAGGCACGAAAGCGUGGGGAGCAAACAGGAUUAGAUACCCGGGUAGUC
RNAcentral lists this ribosomal RNA (446 nucleotides) under uncultured bacterium. Its description in RNAcentral is "partial 16S ribosomal RNA". It matches the Rfam family "Bacterial small subunit ribosomal RNA", at positions 338 to 795 of the family's 1533-position model. The record is from RNAcentral.